UACGUAUGGGGCAAGCGUUAUCCGGAUUUACUGGGUGUAAAGGGAGCGUAGACGGCAUGGCAAGUCUGAUGUGAAAGGCUGGGGCUCAACCCCGGGACUGCAUUGGAAACUGUCUAGCUGGAGUGCGGGAGAGGUAAGUGGAAUUCCUAGUGUAGCGGUGAAAUGCGUAGAUAUUAGGAGGAACACCAGUGGCGAAGGCGGCUUACUGGACCGUAACUGACGUUGAGGCUCGAAAGCGUGGGGAGCAA
This 248-nucleotide ribosomal RNA is filed under the name uncultured Lachnospiraceae bacterium. RNAcentral's name for it is "partial 16S ribosomal RNA". It matches the Rfam family "Bacterial small subunit ribosomal RNA", at positions 524 to 771 of the family's 1533-position model. The record is from RNAcentral. Lineage: Bacteria; Bacillati; Bacillota; Clostridia; Lachnospirales; Lachnospiraceae.